RNAcentral lists this transfer RNA (85 nucleotides) under Felis catus (domestic cat). It matches the Rfam family "tRNA". From Rfam's summary of the family: Transfer RNA (tRNA) molecules are approximately 80 nucleotides in length. Lineage: Eukaryota; Metazoa; Chordata; Mammalia; Carnivora; Felidae. The record is from Rfam by way of RNAcentral.
GCCUAGGUGGCUCAGUCGGUUAAGCGUCUGACUUCAGCUCAGGUCACGAUCUCACGGUUCGUGGGUUCAACCCCCACAUUGAGCU